GCGAAUGCUGACAUAAGUAACGAUAAAGCGGGUGAAAAGCCCGCUCGCCGGAAGACCAAGGGUUCCUGUCCAACGUUAAUCGGGGCAGGGUGAGUCGACCCCUAAGGCGAGGCCGAAAGGCGUAGUCGAUGGGAAACGGGUUAAUAUUCCCGUACUUGGUGUUACUGCGAAGGGGGGACGGAGAAGGCUAUGUUGGCCGGGCGACGGUUGUCCCGGUUUAAGCGUGUAGGUGUGUGUUCCAGGUAAAUCCGGUUCACUUUAACACUGAGGCGUGACGACGAGGCACUACGGUGCUGAAGCAACAAAUGCCCUGCUUCCAGGAAAAGCCUCUAAGCAUCAGGUAACAUCAAAUCGUACCCCAAACCGACACAGGUGGUCAGGUAGAGAAUACCAAGGCGCUUGAGAGAACUCGGGUGAAGGAACUAGGCAAAAUGGUGCCGUAACUUCGGGAGAAGGCACGCUGACACGUAGGUGAAGUGAUUUACUCAUGGAGCUGAAGUCAGUCGAAGAUACCAGCUGGCUGCAACUGUUUAUUAAAAACACAGCACUGUGCAAACACGAAAGUGGACGUAUACGGUGUGACGCCUGCCCGGUGCCGGAAGGUUAAUUGAUGGGGUCAGCGCAAGCGAAGCUCCUGAUCGAAGCCCCGGUAAACGGCGGCCGUAACUAUAACGGUCCUAAGGUAGCGAAAUUCCUUGUCGGGUAAGUUCCGACCUGCACGAAUGGCGUAAUGAUGGCCAGGCUGUCUCCACCCGAGACUCAGUGAAAUUGAACUCGCUGUGAAGAUGCAGUGUACCCGCGGCAAGACGGAAAGACCCCGUGAACCUUUACUAUAGCUUGACACUGAACAUUGAGCCUUGAUGUGUAGGAUAGGUGGGAGGCUUUGAAGUGUGGACGCCAGUCUGCAUGGAGCCGACCUUGAAAUACCACCCUUUAAUGUUUGAUGUUCUAACGUGGACCCGUUACCCGGGUUGCGGACAGUGUCUGGUGGGUAGUUUGACUGGGGCGGUCUCCUCCUAAAGAGUAACGGAGGAGCACGAAGGUUGGCUAAUCCUGGUCGGACAUCAGGAGGUUAGUGCAAUGGCAUAAGCCAGCUUGACUGCGAGCGUGACGGCGCGAGCAGGUGCGAAAGCAGGUCAUAGUGAUCCGGUGGUUCUGAAUGGAAGGGCCAUCGCUCAACGGAUAAAAGGUACUCCGGGGAUAACAGGCUGAUACCGCCCAAGAGUUCAUAUCGACGGCGGUGUUUGGCACCUCGAUGUCGGCUCAUCACAUCCUGGGGCUGAAGUAGGUCCCAAGGGUAUGGCUGUUCGCCAUUUAAAGUGGUACGCGAGCUGGGUUUAGAACGUCGUGAGACAGUUCGGUCCCUAUCUGCCGUGGGCGCUGGAGAACUGAGGGGGGCUGCUCCUAGUACGAGAGGACCGGAGUGGACGCAUCACUGGUGUUCGGGUUGUCAUGCCAAUGGCACUGCCCGGUAGCUAAAUGCGGAAGAGAUAAGUGCUGAAAGCAUCUAAGCACGAAACUUGCCCCGAG
This 1530-nucleotide ribosomal RNA is filed under the name Salmonella enterica. RNAcentral's name for it is "partial 23S ribosomal RNA". It matches the Rfam family "Bacterial large subunit ribosomal RNA", at positions 1290 to 2803 of the family's 2925-position model. RNAcentral also lists the same sequence under 1 other name. Lineage: Bacteria; Pseudomonadati; Pseudomonadota; Gammaproteobacteria; Enterobacterales; Enterobacteriaceae. The record is from RNAcentral.